This 22-nucleotide ribosomal RNA is filed under the name Pterostylis alata. RNAcentral's name for it is "partial 26S ribosomal RNA". The record is from RNAcentral. Lineage: Eukaryota; Viridiplantae; Streptophyta; Magnoliopsida; Asparagales; Orchidaceae.
GCGACCUCAGGAUGGGCGGGAU